Long non-coding RNA from Hordeum vulgare subsp. vulgare (domesticated barley), 1975 nucleotides. RefSeq lists it as uncharacterized. NCBI's taxonomy places the organism in Eukaryota, Viridiplantae, Streptophyta, Magnoliopsida, Poales, Poaceae. The transcript is spliced from 3 exons. The record is from RefSeq and is a predicted model, not a curated record.
GUUGCGACAGCGUCCAUCGACUCCAGAUGCGAGGCGCGCACAGAAGCAGCCGGUGUGCGCCGGUCGAUUCGAUCUACCGGAGAUGCGGGAUCGAGGCAAAUUGAUGGGCGCGCUCGGAUCGACCGGACGAGCGGCAUCGAUCGUGCUCCAGCCGAUGCGCUCCAGCAUGCCAUUGAUUCCAGGUGCGCGACGGGAUCAGCGGAGAGACGUGCGGGUGAUGAAAGGUGGGGGCUAGAGCGAUAAUGGCAGACCCCUCGUCUGCUAGAAACUGCCUCGUUCACUCUUGAAGCUCACAAUCAUGGCUGGUAAUGUCGGGAUCCUUUCAUAUGCCCGGUGAUACUAUAUAAUGCUUCCUCCCCGGUCAGUGUUUGUCCAGCCUCUUCACUCUGGCAGAGCAGAAACAUCUUUCAGCAUCACGCUAGCGUAAACAUUUACAUUGUCCUCAUAUCCUCUCACAGAAGAUCUUCAUAUCCUUCGUUCAUACAAAAAAAAAUGUACAGGUGAUGUUCAUGGUGCGUCUGGCCGAUUGAUUUGGUCAGAUUCUGGAGCUUUGUGGGAUUUAUUUAUUUUGUGCUCGCCCGUUCAUAAUCUGAGAUAGCUUUAGGACAGAUGCUACGACAACGCCUACUUUGCCAAGGUGGGCCAAAUCAGCCUGCCGGCGAUGAACUACCUGAGGUGGACUAACUCUUCGGCGUUGGUUUUGAGUUGAACAUGUUGCCGGAUACAUUCGAUCAUUACUGCACCAUCCUCCGGUCUGAGAUACUCUGCCUGGCUAUUUCCUCCCUGCUCAUUUUUGUUUAUACUCAGUUCUUGUGCGUAACCAACAGCCUACACUAAAGACACCAGGAAGAGAUAAACAAGCUCAUAGUUAGUCUACAAAUCUCAUAUUUUUAGUGAAGGUGAACACUGCACAUACAAUCAUAUCAUUGAAUUACAGCUAACUGAGAGAAUAAAAAACACAAAAUGCUAUAUGAUGCUCAAUAUAUUGUGUGCGACUAACAUAUGCUGAUUUUUAGUAUAUUGAGAAUUGGAUGUACAGGUGCAUCAGACAGUGGUUAUACCAUUGUCUUUUUUAGCUAGCAAAGAUCUCCUAUGACAUACAUUAUGAUUGGAUUAUUAGAACAUAUUUAUUCAGAUUGGUCCAUUGCGUGUGAGGUACCAAAAUUUUCUUAAUGCCUAGAAUCUCUUCUGAAAACCAUGUUUCAUACUUCAAAAAAAAGUUUGUUCAUGCCAGUACUAUUGUGCUUGCUGUUAUUUACGUUCCUUUUACUGUAUUAUUUUUCAUCAGAAGAAAAUUACUCCAGUAAACUCCCAGAACCUAUUGUAUGGUAGUUUCUUAUGUAUUUUGUCUCCUCUUCUCUGCAGACUAACUUUAAGCAACUAAAACCAAACACAUGGCUUCUUUUUCUGACAGUAGAAGUUUACUUUUCCCCACCCGAUAGGUUAUCUUCCUCUAAAUCAUGUGGUUCAAUUUUCAGGUAUGAGUACCGAUGGAAAUGAACUACAUAGGAGAAAUUACCAUGUUGUUCCAUUAAAUAACUAACUCACAAUGUACUGUAUUGCGGUGGCAAUAAAUGAUGAUUUUCAACCAUUUAAAUUCAGAUAGCAUGUCGUGGACGAUUUUCAGCCAGUCCCGGACCCUUCAGGACGGCCGCGUCCCAACGAUCCCUGAGCUAGCGGCCCGGCGUGCUGCGGCCCGCGAUUUGUUCCUAGCACUGGCAUCCGCUCGUUAGGACCCGGGACCGGGGCCGACUUCAGCACUACCUGGACGCGUUGAUGGCGGCCGCCCGACAGCUCUCCUCCCCCUUGAUUGCUGCCUAGCUGGCCCCGUGUGGGCAUUUUUUGUUUCUUCUCUUUAUUUUGGGCUGGACUGUGCUGUUGCCCCAGCGGACUAUCUUCUUUAUUUUCUGUGUUCGGACUUGUGUGUUGGAUUCUGGCCGUUGUGCUUUAUCUAUAAAGUGGGGCGAAAGCCUGU